Molecule: non-coding RNA, 781 nt
Organism: Benincasa hispida (wax gourd)
Lineage: Eukaryota; Viridiplantae; Streptophyta; Magnoliopsida; Cucurbitales; Cucurbitaceae
Source: RefSeq, a predicted model, not a curated record
GCUGCCAUGGCCCAUGUGUACGGUUUCUUCUACUUUACAGUUGCAGGGCAAGCAUCUCUCUGUAAUCGAGGCAGUGGCAUCCAUUUUGUUGGCUCAUCUCGAAAAUGGUGAACUGGGUCUCGUUCUGCGUAGGGCAAGAUUGUCGAUUAACACAUGCAACCGUGUGAGAAUCUUCUUCCUCCCAAUGCAUUCAAUUAAUUUUCUUUUUUCAGAGAUAUCUGGGGAUGCUCGUGCUGUGUUCCCCAUCUCCAGACUCAAGUUCGUGUGCAGAUUCUUUCAUUUGUGAUAAAACAUCCUUAGCCAAAGCACACACAUCCAAGAUCUUGAGAGAUCCCUCUAGCAAGUCAUCAACUGACUUGUUGUCAACAAGAGCUUGAUGGGUGAGUGGCAAAAGAAACAACUUAUCAAUGGAAUCAUGUAAAUCUUGAAGACCAUCCAGUUUUUGGCACAAAGAAGAUGAUGAAGAAGUGGCUUCAGAGGCCUUCAAUCUGCAGAGAUUUUCAUUAACUUCAUCCACAACUGGAUGUGGCUUUGAGGGCAAACUGUUUGAACGAAUGUGGAAUGAUUUCUUUGAGUUUGCAGCAAAGGAAUCCAUCUUCUUUUUACAAAAGCCUAAGAUUAUGAAUUGUAAAACAGCCAAAAAGUUGACUUCUUUUGGCCUUCAAGAGCUUAUUUAUAUCACUUUGGCUGGGAGAGACAUGAGGAAUCUCAAGCCCAUCUAAUUAUAAUCAAUUAGUGAUAUGUAUAAGAAAAUAAUUCAGCGAUGUCCACGCUUUGUCUC